UCCGUAGGUGAACCUGCGGAAGGAUCAUUAAUAGUGCCCUCUGAUGCAAAUCAUUGGGUUAGAUCUGCUCUCUUCGCAAGAAGAGGGUUUCCAUACACACCGUGAACUGUGGCUUCGGCCAUCACAAACUGUUAGUAAUGAAUGUAAUAUCAUAACAAAAACAAAACUUUUAACAACGGAUCUCUUGGCUCUCGCAUCGAUGAAGAACGCAGCGAAAUGCGAUAAGUAAUGUGAAUUGCAGAAUUCAGUGAAUCAUCGAAUCUUUGAACGCACCUUGCGCCCUUUGGUAUUCCGAAGGGCAUGCCUGUUUGAGUGUCAUGAAACCUCACCCCACUUGGGUUUUUGCCUGAGCGGUGGUGUAUUGGGUGUUGCCUUGCUAAAGGCUCGCCUUAAAGACAUAAGCACCUUGGAUGUAAUACGUUUCAUCCUUCUGGGUGGCUGAUAACCCCACAUAUUCAUGAUCUGGCCUCAAAUCAGGUAGGGCUACCCGCUGAACUUAAGCAUAUCAAUAAGCGGAGGAAAAGAAACUAACUAGGAUUCCCUUAGUAACGGCGAGUGAACCGGGAUGAGCUCAAAUUUAAAAUCUGGCGUCUUUCAGGCGUCCGAGUUGUAAUCUAUAGAGGCGUUUUCCGCGCCGGACCGCGUCCAAGUCUCUUGGAAUAGAGUAUCAAAGAGGGUGACAAUCCCGUACUUGACGCGACAACCGGUGCUCUGUGAUACGUUCUCAAUGAGUCGAGUUGUUUGGGAAUGCAGCUCUAAAUGGGUGGUAAAUUCCAUCUAAGGCUAAAUAUUGGCGAGGGACCGAUAGCGAACAAGUACCGUGAGGGAAAGAUGAAAAGCACUUUGGAAAGAGAGUUAAACAGCACGUGAAAUUGUUAAAAGGGAAACGCUUGAAGU
This 897-nucleotide small RNA is filed under the name uncultured fungus. RNAcentral's name for it is "eukaryotic LSU rRNA". The stretch from base 464 to 897 matches the Rfam family "Eukaryotic large subunit ribosomal RNA", at positions 1 to 429 of the family's 3401-position model. Lineage: Eukaryota; Fungi. The record is from RNAcentral.